UUAUUUAAAGAGCACCAAUUAUGCUAAUAAAUGAGCACGUUAGCACGUUAUUGUAAUAUCCCAUAGUACAUACAUGUUAUUAAAACUUGAACUAAUGCACUGUGAGUCUUAUAAAUUGCUUACAUACCUCACCGAUUUCCCACUGUCUGGAAAACGCUCGGUUUAGUUCCUGUCUCCGCCUCCCAAAAUGUCUUGUGUAUUCGGAUUGGUCAGAUGACUACUCAACUGUUAUUGGUCAACUGGGUUCGGCGUGUGUUUGAAAGGUUACGCCCCUGACUACGCGUGGGUUUUCCGGUUCUGACUGAGAGUCACAGGCAACGUAAACAAGCGCUAUAUUUCUCUAUAAACGAUGGUGUCUGUACUGCCUUACCACUUCAAGCUCGAUCCAGAGAGUUCAGACGGCGUUACGAUAUAAACGAUCUCCGUCAAUUAACGCGAUUGGAUUUAACUUUUUUAGGUGUCCUUAGCUCUGCCAGAAUGCUAAACGAAGACGAAAAUGUGUUGCAAAGACAUCCAAAAGGUUUUAAGGAGAAUGCAACAGGUUCCAGGGCCUCUUACCUGCGUGAUUCAUCAUCCAGAUACGCUUGGAGCUUCCUGAUCAGAUCGGUCACAAUUUUGGCUUUCGAUGACCCCUGCACUGAAGAUGGCAUGCAAUCACGUCCUCCUUUGAAGGUCUCUCAAACUGUGAUGCCAGGUCCAUUGGAAUCGGGGUUUCCUUCAGCUUAUCUUCAAAUACCUCAUCAAACACAAGCCUGAUCACAUCCUCCACAUAACUGUAGAAAUAUU
Paramisgurnus dabryanus is the source of this 786-nucleotide long non-coding RNA. RefSeq lists it as uncharacterized. The record is from RefSeq and is a predicted model, not a curated record. Lineage: Eukaryota; Metazoa; Chordata; Actinopteri; Cypriniformes; Cobitidae.